This 368-nucleotide ribosomal RNA is filed under the name uncultured bacterium. RNAcentral's name for it is "bacterial SSU rRNA". It matches the Rfam family "Bacterial small subunit ribosomal RNA", at positions 9 to 371 of the family's 1533-position model. The record is from RNAcentral.
GAGUUUGAUCCUGGCUCAGAUUGAACGCUGGCGGCAGGCCUAACACAUGCAAGUCGAGCGGCAGCGGGAAGAUAGCUUGCUAUCUUCGCCGGCGAGCGGCGGACGGGUGAGUAAUACCUGGGGAUCUGCCCAAUCGGGGGGGAUAACAGUUGGAAACGACUGCUAAUACCGCAUACGCCCUACGGGGGAAAGGAGGGGACCUUCGGGCCUUCCGCGAUUGGAUGAACCCAGGCGGGAUUAGCUAGUAGGUGAGGUAAUGGCUCACCUAGGCGACGAUCCCUAGCUGUUCCGAUUGGAUGGACAGCCACACGGGAACGGAGACACGGACCAGACNCCAACGGGAGGCAACAAAGCCGAACAAAGGACAA